CAGUCGCCGCGGUAAGACAGAGGAUGCAAGCGUUAUCCGGAAUGAUUGGGCGUAAAGCGUCUGUAGGUGGCCUUUCAAGUCCGCCGUCAAAUCCCAGGGCUCAACCCUGGACAGGCGGUGGAAACUACCAAGCUAGAGUACGGUAGGGGCAGAGGGAAUUUCCGGUGGAGCGGUGAAAUGCGUUGAGAUCGAAAAGAACACCAACGACGAAAGCACUCUGCUGGGUCGACACUGACACUGAGAGACGAAAGCUAGGGGAGCAAAUGGGAUUAGAUACCCCCGUAGUCCCUGUCUCUUAUAC
Molecule: ribosomal RNA, 301 nt
Filed under: uncultured bacterium
Lineage: Bacteria
Description: partial 16S ribosomal RNA
Rfam family: Bacterial small subunit ribosomal RNA
Source: RNAcentral